GCCCUACACAUGCAGUCGAGCGGUAGCACAGAGAGCUUGCUCUCGGGUGACGAGCGGCGGACGGGUGAGUAAUGUCUGGGAAACUGCCUGAUGGAGGGGGAUAACUACUGGAAACGGUAGCUAAUACCGCAUAAUGUCGCAAGACCAAAGUGGGGGACCUUCGGGCCUCAUGCCAUCAGAUGUGCCCAGAUGGGAUUAGCUAGUAGGUGGGGUAACGGCUCACCUAGGCGACGAUCCCUAGCUGGUCUGAGAGGAUGACCAGCCACACUGGAACUGAGACACGGUCCAGACUCCUACGGGAGGCAGCAGUGGGGAAUAUUGCACAAUGGGCGCAAGCCUGAUGCAGCCAUGCCGCGUGUGUGAAGAAGGCCUUCGGGUUGUAAAGCACUUUCAGCGGGGAGGAAGGCGAUAGUUAAUAACCUAUGAUUGACGUUACCCGCAGAAGAAGCACCGGCUAACUCCGUGCCAGCAGCCGCGGUAAUACGGAGGGUGCAAGCGUUAAUCGGAAUUACUGGGCGUAAAGCGCACGCAGGCGGUCUGUCAAGUCGGAUGUGAAAUCCCCGGGCUCAACCUGGGAACUGCAUUCGAAACUGGCAGGCUAGAGUCUUGUAGAGGGGGGUAGAAUUCCAGGUGUAGCGGUGAAAUGCGUAGAGAUCUGGAGGAAUACCGGUGGCGAAGGCGGCCCCCUGGACAAAGACUGACGCUCAGGUGCGAAAGCGUGGGGAGCAAACAGGAUUAGAUACCCUGGUAGUCCACGCCGUAAACGAUGUCGAUUUGGAGGUUGUGCCCUUGAGGCGUGGCUUCCGGAGCUAACGCGUUAAAUCGACCGCCUGGGGAGUACGGCCGCAAGGUUAAAACUCAAAUGAAUUGACGGGGGCCCGCACAAGCGGUGGAGCAUGUGGUUUAAUUCGAUGCAACGCGAAGAACCUUACCUGGUCUUGACAUCCACAGAACUUUCCAGAGAUGAUUGGUGCCUUCGGGAACUGUGAGACAGGUGCUGCAUGGCUGUCGUCAGCUCGUGUUGUGAAAUGUUGGGUUAAGUCCCGCAACGAGCGCAACCCUUAUCCUUUGUUGCCAGCGGUCCGGCCGGGAACUCAAAGGAGACUGCCAGUGAUAAACUGGAGGAAGGUGGGGAGACGUCAAGUCAUCAUGGCCCUUACGACCAGGGCUACACACGUGCUACAAUGGCAUAUACAAAGAGAAGCGACCUCGCGAGAGCAAGCGGACCUCAUAAAGUAUGUCGUAGUCCGGAUUGGAGUCUGCAACUCGACUCCAUGAAGUCGGAAUCGCUAGUAAUCGUAGAUCAGAAUGCUACGGUGAAUACGUUCCCGGGCCUUGUACACACCGCCCGUCACACCAUGGGAGUGGGUUGCAAAAGAAGUAGGUAGCUUAACCUUCGGGAGGGCGCUACCACUUUG
RNAcentral lists this ribosomal RNA (1418 nucleotides) under Klebsiella sp. KYS. RNAcentral's name for it is "bacterial SSU rRNA". It matches the Rfam family "Bacterial small subunit ribosomal RNA". The record is from RNAcentral. Lineage: Bacteria; Pseudomonadati; Pseudomonadota; Gammaproteobacteria; Enterobacterales; Enterobacteriaceae.